This 492-nucleotide ribosomal RNA is filed under the name uncultured bacterium. RNAcentral describes it as "partial 16S ribosomal RNA". It matches the Rfam family "Bacterial small subunit ribosomal RNA", at positions 29 to 507 of the family's 1533-position model. The record is from RNAcentral.
AGUGAACGCUGGCGGUAGGCCUAACACAUGCAAGUCGAACGGCAGCACAGUAAGAGCUUGCUCUUACGGGUGGCGAGUGGCGGACGGGUGCGGUGUACAUCGGAUUCCAGUUUGUAGCGGGGGCUAACGUAGGGAAAUUUACGAUAAUAAAGGAUACGACCUACGGGUGUAAGCAGGGGUACUUUGGACUUUGUGCGAAUGUAUGAGCUGAUGUCGGAUUAGCUAGUUGGCGGGGUAGAGGCGCACCAAGGCGACGAUCCGUAGCUGGUCUGAGCGGGAGUUCAGCCACACUGGAACUGAGACACAGCCCAGACUCCUACGGGAGGCAGCGGUGGGGAAUAUUAGGCGAGGGACGCAAGCCUAAUCCAGCCAUACCGCGUAAGUGAAGAAGGACUUCGGCUGGGAAAGCCCUGAAGUUGGGAGAGAAGAACAGCACUUUAAUACCCCACUAUACUGACGGUACCCGGAGAAUAAGCACCGGCUAACUUCGUG